Long non-coding RNA from Homo sapiens (human), 2402 nucleotides. Ensembl annotates it as MIR7515 host gene. Lineage: Eukaryota; Metazoa; Chordata; Mammalia; Primates; Hominidae. The record is from Ensembl.
AGCUGUGUCCACAUGAGAACAUUGGCAAGAGUGGGGACAUGGAAGCUGUGUUCAGGCCGGUCCACGCUGGGUGACCCAUGUGACCUGCUGCUUAGCAAUUCCUUGUCACCAUCUUCCCUUCUCAGCCUCUUUUUUCAUGCUAACAGGCAUAAAUGAAAUGAUAAAAGUUUGAGCUCUUCUCGUGGAAUUCUCGUGAUACAGAUAUGUGCUACAUGUUCAUCAUCUCGUUGGUCUUCACCAUGAUAACUGUGGAGUAAGAAUUAUAAGCAGGUCACAGAUUAGGGACUUGAGAUUGACAGUUUGGCUUCCCUGUUCUGGGUGGCAAAGCCUGUGGAGUACUCACCUACCUGCUGCAUGAAGGCAGCAUGGAGGGACUGUGGUGGAUUAUCUGCAAAGAUGGCCAAAAUUCUCUCAUCCCUGCAGGCACAUACAAGGUUUCCAGAAGUUCCCCAGUCAUUGAGCAUUUCUGAGGCUCUUGAUGCAUAUGCCAAGUAGUUAUGGAGAAAGACACAGCAGCUUACCUCUGCAGGCAUCAUUGUGUGAAAGGAAGACCCAGGCUCUCUCACCACCCUUGAACAGAAGCCUUUUGCUAAGGUGAUAGCUACAUGUCCAAGCCUAUUGCGUGGCAUGCAUUUUGCCUUCUGCAGCCCACUAAAGGAAAUUGAAGUAUACAGAAUGCUUAUUUGGUCUACUCAGUAUCAUCCUAAAUGUAUGUACCAAUGCUUAGGAGUUUGCAGUUCACCCGCAAACCUCAGCGAUCCAAGCUCCCCUGGAUGACCAUCACUCACCAAGAAAAGAGCAAUAACAGGACCUGUUUUGCUAAUCCAGGACUGUUCUCCAGCACUAACUCUAAAUAAUCCCUUCUGCUAGAGUCCACUUUCUGGAACCUGUUGCCUCCGUUUUCAACGUUUCCCAAACUUGGUCCGUUGUGUGAGCUGGCUGAUAAAAGUUCCAGGGAGAAGACAUCUUACUCUUAUUGGAUCAUGCACAGUGCCUGAAGCAUUCUGUUGCAUGUAGAAGUCAGUAAAUUGCAGAUGUAAGAUUCAAAACCAGACUUCACAUCUACCGACUUCAGUGACCCUGAAAUUUGUUCACAGAGAGCAUUUAACAUAACUGUCUUCAUCAUCUCCUUCUCUACAUUAAAAAUUAUGGUUCACAAAGACGUUAUUGGUGAUUCAAUCUUGAGUCAUGAAAAGUCAACCUUGAGCCACAAAAAGUCAACCUUGAGCCAAGCAGAUUGGAGAGUCAUACAUGCCAUUCCUGGGACCAUCAAAAAUGGCAGAGGUCACACAAAAAGGCAAAACUUUUAAGAGGUGUUUUAAACGUCGUAUGGGCCAAAGAGAAGCUGGAUUUCCUAUUGGAGUCACCUGUAACACACGUGUGACGAAAUUGGCCUGUGAGGACAAGGCAGUGAGCAGAGAGGACAGCAGUCCUUAUGAGAUCAAGCUCUAAGGUAUCCUAGACACAUUUGGAGAAUUCACCUGAGCUACAGGAUGUGAAAAGUUGCUAAAACUGCUGUGAGAUUCUGGCUAAGAAAGUUUCAUGAGAAGUUUUACAGAAAAAUGUGAACGGAAGACAGAACUAGAUAUAAAUUUGAAUGUUUUGAGAAGAAUGCGAAGAAGAAAGGAAGAGUGAGCCUCUCUUUCCCAUCGUUACCCUCCAUUGUCCUCUUGACACCCUGCUUUCACAGAGAAAGAGUUUGAGACCCUCUCCCAGGAGCCAAGGAGAGGGGAACAGCUGGCUUCACAUCAUCUUUCUAUUCAACAAGAUACAAAAAGCUGAAGCCAGGAUGAUAGAAAAGCAACAAAGAAGACACGGUCCUUACUCAUUUCCCUUCCCACUUCAGAGCAAAUAUGGUGCCUGGUGUUCGAAGGGAGAACUUGUGGGCAGAGCAGGAAGCGUGAGUAUGGUUGAAGGAUCAAAUAUUUGGUUCAGGCAUCAGGGAGCCAGCAAGACUAUGAUGCUGGGAAACACAAGUGAUGUACUGUUGGAUUUAAUCUACUUGGAAAAAACCUAGGAAAACCAAAAUGUCAUCAACUAACACCUGAAAUGCCUCAGCACCAUCUGUCUCCAACAUUAAACAAAACCCACGAGAUUCCAGGAGAAAGAAAAUAGGAAAUUUAAUGAUGAACUUAACCUGAGUAACUUGAUAAAUGUUACCUUUGUGGCUAGCCAUUCACCAGCAAGUCCCUAAAAUGACCUGAAACCUGAAGAGUGUUUCACCCAUGAAAGGGUUUGCUCUCUCUGGGCAUGGCUACCCAGCACAUAUGUUAGUCAACUUUCUUUCCCUUGCAGGGCCCCUUGGAAAACUAGUUUGAAUCAUUCAUUAACUCAGCUCCACUCCUUCCCUUUCCCAUGGACCAUAGUUUCUUUGAGCAAUUAAAACUUAUAAGACACCAAAA